RNAcentral lists this ribosomal RNA (494 nucleotides) under uncultured bacterium. RNAcentral's name for it is "bacterial SSU rRNA". It matches the Rfam family "Bacterial small subunit ribosomal RNA", at positions 29 to 518 of the family's 1533-position model. The record is from RNAcentral.
AUGAACGCUAGCGACAGGCCUAACACAUGCAAGUCGAGGGGCAGCACAAGGAGCAAUCUGAGGUGGCGACCGGCGCACGGGUGAGUAACACGUAUGCAACCUGCCUGUAAGCGGGGAAUAACCCGUUGAAAGACGGACUAAUACCGCAUAAUACUAAAUUACUGCAUGGUAAUUUAUUUAAACAUUUAUGGCUUACAGAUGGGCAUGCGCAUGAUUAGCUAGUUGGAGAGGUAACGGCUCCCCAAGGCAACGAUCAUUAGGGGUUCUGAGAGGAAGGUCCCCACACUGGUACUGAGACACGGACCAGACUCCUACGGGAGGCAGCAGUGAGGAAUAUUGGUCAAUGGACGAGAGUCUGAACCAGCCAAGUCGCGUGCAGGAAGAAUGUCCUAAUGGAUUGUAAACUGCUUUUGCAGGGGAAUAAAGUGCAUCACGUGUGAUGUUUUGUAUGUACUCUGCGAAUAAGGAUCGGCUAACUCCGUGCCAGCAGCCGC